UACGGAGGGUGCAAGCGUUAUCCGGAUUCACUGGGUUUAAAGGGUGCGUAGGCGGAUUCUUAAGUCCGUGGUGAAAUCUCCAAGCUUAACUUGGAAACUGCCAUGGAUACUAUUAGUCUUGAAUGUUGUGGAGGUUAGCGGAAUAUGUCAUGUAGCGGUGAAAUGCAUAGAUAUGACAUAGAACACCAAUUGCGAAGGCAGCUGGCUACACAAAUAUUGACGCUGAGGCACGAAGGCGUGGGGAUCAAACAGG
This 253-nucleotide ribosomal RNA is filed under the name uncultured bacterium. Its description in RNAcentral is "partial 16S ribosomal RNA". It matches the Rfam family "Bacterial small subunit ribosomal RNA", at positions 524 to 776 of the family's 1533-position model. The record is from RNAcentral.